RNAcentral lists this unclassified non-coding RNA (253 nucleotides) under uncultured Flavobacteriaceae bacterium. Its description in RNAcentral is "contains 16S-23S intergenic spacer region". It matches the Rfam family "Bacterial small subunit ribosomal RNA", at positions 524 to 776 of the family's 1533-position model. Lineage: Bacteria; Pseudomonadati; Bacteroidota; Flavobacteriia; Flavobacteriales; Flavobacteriaceae. The record is from RNAcentral.
UACGAAGGAUCCAAGCGUUUUCCGGAAUCAUUGGGCUUAAAGGGUCCGUAGGCGGGAUAAUAAGUCAGGGGUGAAAGUCUGCAGCUCAACCGUAGAAUUGCCAUUGAUACUGUUGUUCUUGAGUGUGUAUGAGGUGGUUAGAAUAUGUAGUGUAGCGGUGAAAUGCAUAGAUAUUACAUAGAAUACCGAUUGCGAAGGCAGAUCACUAAUACAAUACUGACGCUGAUGGACGAAAGCGUAGGUAGCGAACAGG